This 64-nucleotide transfer RNA is filed under the name Teredorus anhuiensis. RNAcentral's name for it is "tRNA-Ile". The record is from RNAcentral. Lineage: Eukaryota; Metazoa; Arthropoda; Insecta; Orthoptera; Tetrigidae.
GUGUGGAGCCUGAAAUUAAAGGAAUAUCUUGAUGUGAUAAAAUUUGUAAAUACUUACCUACACU